ACAUUCGAUGCCUGCGACUGUCUUCAUAGGUGAUAGUAUUGAAAGCAAAGGCUAACGAUUCCAGUUCCCAAACAGCCGACACGAACAAUUCAAAUCGAAAAAUAUCCCCUUUAAAUUGCUUUGUUCCCGGUAAAACUUCGCCAGCGUAUAGAAUAAACACCCAUCUUCGAACAUACAAGACAAUAUUAACACGUCCUAUAAUUUUUGCAAUGGAUUUUUAGCGAAAUGUUUCGAGACUAAAAUUCUAUGGAACUUAGAAAGCCCGAUAAUUACUACGGCGCCUGCUUGGCCACCUAGCCUCCUUUACCGUUUGGAUUGUCAGGGGGGGUUCAAAUAAAAAACACCUAUUUUCGGCAACAGCCAGCCAAUCAACGCCGCGAUACCGACUGUUUACAAUAUUUGAAAUCUGAUAUUGUAAUUUAUCAACAACAAAACUCUUUCGAUCGUAUACAGCAACAACAGGCAGCAAAUCAAUGCCGCGAUAGCGACGGUUUACUAUAUUUGAAAUCUGAUAUUGUAAUUUGCAAAAGCUCCCUUUUCUAUCUUAUACUAUACGAUCGAUCGAUCGAAAGAGUUUUGUUGUUGAUAAAUUACAAUAUCAGAUUUCAAAUAUUGUAAACAGUCGGUAUCGCGGCGUCGAGAUUGGCUAGCUGUUGCCCGAAAUAGGUGUUUUUUAUUCGACCCCCCCUGACAAUCCAAACGGUAAAGGAGGCUAGGUGGCCAAGCAGGCGCCGUAGUAAUUAUCGGGC
Molecule: non-coding RNA, 749 nt
Organism: Paramuricea clavata
Lineage: Eukaryota; Metazoa; Cnidaria; Anthozoa; Malacalcyonacea; Plexauridae
Source: the annotation of a GenBank genome assembly